Callithrix jacchus (white-tufted-ear marmoset) is the source of this 76-nucleotide non-coding RNA. The record is from Rfam. NCBI's taxonomy places the organism in Eukaryota, Metazoa, Chordata, Mammalia, Primates, Cebidae.
CUCCAAGGAACAUUCAACGCUGUCGGUGAGUUUGGGAUUUGAAAAAAAACCACUGACCGUUGACUGUACCUUGGGG